AGGAUAUUAUAGUACUUUUACCUAUUAAAUGAAAUAUUUGAUCAUUUUCCUCCUUGUGGUCUAUUUUUGUGAUCAAAACUUGAAAAUUGUCUAUUUAGGAUAAUUGCCCAUGAAUAAAUGCUUUAUUUUAAAUUUAAAUCAUAUAAUUUUUAGUUGUAGAUUUAAAAAAAUCUUAUAUAUGGAUACGCUUUCAACACGUAUCUGCUUCCUAAUUUUUUCUAAAAUUUCGCUUCUGCGCUUUCAUACGCUUCCGUUUCCACGUACCCGCUUUCGUUUUCAUGUAACAUAGCCAAGAACCAUAUUCACCAAAAUUUAGAUCCAGACCUGACCCUGUAACGGCGCAGCUCGGCUAAGCGAUGUGGGAUGUAAUUAGCCUAGAUGUAAACCACUUUUCUCACUUGUUAAAAUUUUUAACAGUGUUUCUACAUGUUAUGCUCAUUUAUUAUUUAUUUCUCAUCCAGUUUAAAGUCUUUUUGAUAUUUGAAUAUACUAGAAUUUAGUAUUCGAAUUGGGAAGUAAAAAUAAAAUAGCCUCUUUAGUUUACAAAAACAGAGUUCCAACACUUUUUAGUAAAUAAGAUAAAUUAAUUCUGUUUUUUCCAGAACAAGAUAUUUUUGAACCUCAAGUUGUUUAAUUAGGUUACUUCCGGGUCCAUUAAAAAGCUAAUCAGGCGUACCAAAUUUAACACCAUAUACUACCUUUGUUUCGUAAGUGUCAUUUUAACAUUUUUUUUUGUACAUAAAAAAUAUCAUUUUACAAUUCCAAUGCAAAUUAUAUUUAUUUUCAGCUAAAAAUUAAUUACAAACUGCAUUGAUUUUAUAAAUAAUUUUAUUUAUCUUAAAUACUAUUGGUCCAAAAAAUGUAAUUAAUAACAAUUUACAUAUAUUUCAGCAACUUUUUUAAUAUAUGUGAAAAAUGUCAGUGACACUUAUUCAAAAACGGACUAAAAUCUGAAAUGGACAAAAUGGUCAAAAACAAGUCUCACACAUCCAAAAAAAAUCUACAUAGACCAAGGAGAGGAAAAUUACUAUUUUGCUUUUAAUGAUGGCUCAAUAUGAACCAUUAGAUCAGAUCAUCUCUCUUAUAAUAUGAGCCGUUAGAUCUUCAGAAGAAAAUGAAUGAAAUAAUUACAACAAUGUCAUUAAUGAAAUUCAUCUUAGCUGUCAGAUCUUUUCUCUGUGUUAUAAUCUGGACCGUCCGAUCUCUCAUUAAAUCUCUCCUUCUCUCGCCCGGGUUCCACCAUAAAUUUAAUCAUUCUUCUUCUUCUUCUUCUUCAUUUCACUCUCAACCACCACGAAAAUUCAUUACAUUCACCAACCAAAGCUCUCUUCUUCAACUCUUCAUCCACAAACCUUUACGUCUGUUUCUUAAGGUCUUUCUACAGCUUAUGACGCUGUGAAACAGCACUUGUGCGUCGUCCUUGGUUCUGAAAUCGCUUGUUUUUACACCAUCUCAUAAGUUUGCAUGAUCUACCUUAUACUUUUAAGGUUUGUUAACUUUUUUGUCCACAUAAUUUUUGGAAAACAUACAUGAAAUGUAUUUUAACAAAAUUGAUAAUUUCAUUUUAUUGGGGCAAAUGCAUGUACACAUAAAGAAGUGGUACAACUAAGGUAAGUUUAAAUUUUAUGUGGUACAACUAGUUUUUUCGAUUUCAAUGCCAAAGUACAACUAUGUACAAACCGGUACAGCUCAAAAACUAGUACAACUAUGUACAAGCCGGUACAACUCAAAUACUAGUACAACUAUGUUAUUUCAUCUUGUAUUGUGCAUCAAGUUUUAAACGUGUAUCAUAUUUUAAACAUUA
Brassica napus (rape) is the source of this 1804-nucleotide long non-coding RNA. RefSeq lists it as uncharacterized. The record is from RefSeq and is a predicted model, not a curated record. NCBI's taxonomy places the organism in Eukaryota, Viridiplantae, Streptophyta, Magnoliopsida, Brassicales, Brassicaceae. The transcript has 2 exons.